This 1305-nucleotide long non-coding RNA is filed under the name Dermacentor andersoni. RNAcentral's name for it is "uncharacterized LOC126523485". Lineage: Eukaryota; Metazoa; Arthropoda; Arachnida; Ixodida; Ixodidae. The record is from RNAcentral.
GGGCUGUGUUAAUCAUAGCUCUCCACCGAUGUUUCAGUAGUAUUAUCCCUUAGUGAGUGAGACUGGGGGCAAUUAAUCGUGUUAGUCUUUAAAUGGUGUCCUAAUUAUGUGUAUUUGUUCCAACAAAGUUGUCUAGAUUACUUUAUUGUGUAGUGUAAAGCUUAUGAAACCAUCAGCAACUAGUGAGUUGCUAACAUGCAUAUGCAUUUGUCACUAUACAGGUGGCACUCGGCUGUACCACUGCAGUGCUGCAGAAAUUGCCAGCACCAGCGGCUUUGCAACAGCUGUUUCACAGCAUGUCGGAGACAAUGCCUACGAAAUUAUUGGCCCUGAUGACGAGACCCCUCAAGGGGCAAACGACAUCUCUGUUGUAGAAGUGAGCCCGAUACCACCUGAAGUUACCAUGACAGGUGGCACGGCAGCAAUAGAUACAGAGACGGCCAUGUCUACUGCAGCUGCAACAGUGUACGAGGCAAGCAGCAGUGUGUCAGCAUCAGCAGCAGUGUCAGAAGGAACUGCACGAGGCCUGGUAGAGCAACAUGUGUGCUAUCACUGACUUUUUUUGUAGUGCACACAACUCAUUUGCUCAACAUACAAAAGCUUUUCACCACGACUGUGAGCCAGUGUUCUUGUGCAGCAAGUUGUAGCACAGUACAAGCAUCACUUUAAGAUAUGCAAACAUAUUACAGUUGUUGCCUCCCCAGCCAGCCCACAUAGCGACAACAAUGUGAAACACAUGGUGGGACACACCUCUUCCCCAUUAGAAGAUAGUAGAGACUGUCAGUGUUGUUGCUAGAUUAACUGUUCUUUGUAGGCAACUAGAACGACAACACAGGUGUCAUAAGAUUGUUGUUGAUGUUGUUGAAGAGGUAAAAAAGAAGUUUGAUGUAGCUGAAGUGCCAACUGAUAUUGAGCAAAUCAAAACCAACCACCUGAGAAAGCAACACUAUCGAAAUUUGGGUAUCUAUGUGCCGCCAACUCUGGUAAGGAUGGCAUAGGACAGAAGUGAUGAAAAUCACACAGACACUGCUGUUGCAUCACUGGUCACAGUGAGCAGCGACUUGUAGGGCAAGAGAGUCAACUGAAACGAACAUUAUGGCAUAGUGUCAUGCUCCCGUGUGACCACUUUCCAUGUUAUUUUGCAUGAUACAGCUCAACCUCCAGAAACAAGACUGCAACUUGUCUGUAAAAAGCUUUCACAAAAAAUUAUUCAUAACACUAUUAACACAGCAGUAUCUUCUUUUUUUGUGGGUUCGAGGUUCCCGGGUGUCCAUUAAUGCAAAAAUUGCGGAAAAAAAGAACAUG